RNAcentral lists this ribosomal RNA (253 nucleotides) under uncultured bacterium. Its description in RNAcentral is "partial 16S ribosomal RNA". It matches the Rfam family "Bacterial small subunit ribosomal RNA", at positions 524 to 776 of the family's 1533-position model. The record is from RNAcentral.
GACAGAGGGUGCAAACGUUGUUCGGAUUUACUGGGCGUAAAGCGCGUGUAGGCGGCUUUGCAAGUCGGAUGUGAAAUCCCACGGCUCAACCGUGGAAGUGCAUCCGAAACUGCAUCGCUGGAGUCUCGGAGAGGAAGGUGGAAUGCUUGGUGUAGAGGUGAAAUUCGUAGAUAUCAAGCAGAACACCUGCGGCGAAGGCGGCCUUCUGGACGAUGACUGACGCUGAGACGCGGAAGCGUGGGGAGCAAACAGG